Alligator mississippiensis (American alligator) is the source of this 2289-nucleotide long non-coding RNA. RefSeq lists it as uncharacterized. The record is from RefSeq and is a predicted model, not a curated record. The transcript is spliced from 7 exons. Lineage: Eukaryota; Metazoa; Chordata; Crocodylia; Alligatoridae.
UUCUCCCCCCGCUCCUGGCAGCGCCCCCAGGCCGAGGUAGCGCCGGGGGCAGGGCAGUGCCAUUCCGCUGCACCCCGCACCUGGCCGGGCUCCGCUGCAGCAGGUCGGCGGGGGGCACCGCGGCGAUGCCGGCAGCAGGCGGGCGGGCGGGGCGAGAAGCGCGAGCGGCGAAGCCCCAGGCAGCGGCCCCGCUCCCGCCUCCCGAGCUGCGCCCUCGGCGUCUCCUCUGGCAGCCUCCGCCUGGGCGCCUAUAAAGGGCCCGUGGAGCGCGCGGGGCCGGGAGACGUGGCACUCGCUCCCCUCGGGCCGCCUUCUCCCACCCCGCCAGCCACUUGCCUUAACUGACAUCUUAAAGAUAAAGAGAAAAGUUGGGGAGAGAAUGAAGAACGCCUUGAGGAAACCCAGUUCCUGAACUUCUCGUUAUCCGCGAACUUGAACAAGGUGCUUUUCUCCCCCUUAUCCAAGUCACUGAUGAAGAUGUUGAACAGUGUAGGCCUGUUGGUCCCUCCCAGAUGUGCUCCUGGAUAAUUUUCUCAAAGAGCUUCCCCAGGACCAAGGUAAGACUAACGGGCCUAAAGUUUCUUGGGUCCUCCUUCCUCCCUUUUUUGAAAAUGGGGACCACAUUGGCCCUUUUCCAAUCCUCCAGCACCUUGCCAGAGCACCAUGAGUGUUCGUAGAACUGUGCCAGGUGUCCCACAAUGGCCUCUGCCAAUUCACUCAGCACCCUUGGGUGGAGAUCAUCUGGACCUGCUGAUUUGAACAUGUCCAGUCCCACCAGAAAUUCCCUGACUAGUUCCUCUCUGACCCUGGGCUCGACUGUGCCUCUUCUGAUCUAGGAACUAACUCUGCCAAAUUGUGCAAAGACUCUCCAUUGAACUUUAUAUCCCUCCUUCCACUGACUUUGAAGUUUGAGUAAAGGUAGCAGGAGUCUGAAAGAUAUUUUGAUGGCUCCAAAUUGCCAACAUUCAUAGGUAUAAUUAAAUUGUCCAGAGCAGGGAAAAUGAACAAUGUCUAAUAAAUUGGAGGCCUUUUCCUUCAUUAAUGUGGUCAUAAUUUCCAUUCAUUUGGCUAACCAUCCCUCCAAUUUAAGACAGCAGCUCUUGGAAUGACCUCAAAUCAUCCAUGACUGAAAUCAGCACUGAAGAAUCUGCAUCACUGGGAGAUGGUGAUAGUGGAUCCUGGGAAGAAACUGAAAGAAUUAUAUAAAAGACGGCAAAGACAGGCUGAGUCCUUAUGUGUGGGUUGAAUGGCAUGUAGAAUAGAGAUGACAAAAGGAAGCAGCAUUUUCUUCCAGGGUGGAGAGAACUUCCUGAUACCCUCCUUGCCAUCUGCCAAACUCUCAUCCCUUACUCAAAGAACUCCAGUCAGUAAAGAGACUCCUUCAAGUCUCACCAUAGAGGAACAGCUGCCACUUUCCUCUGCUCAAUCCUGAUGGGGCAAGUUUAGAUAGAAGUCGGCUUCUUUGCAGCCGCGCUCCCUUCUCCACGAUUCCCUGACCCCAGCUGGGACAACGCACACCUUUAUGACAUGUUUGGCCAUGCAGUGGCCCAGCUGGAGCUGGCACCAACUGAUAAAGCAUGCCAGCGACAGCACUGUGCUGCUGGCCCUUUCCCUGGUCUGCCUGGAGGACUCGGCAGCUGAUACAGAUAAUCGGCUGGCCAUAGGAAGUUAAAAGACUCCCAAGGAAAGGAACCAAGAAGGAAGUCAGAAAGAACAGAGAGAGACAGAAGACUGUAAGAAACAGAGGAGAGAGAUGUACCAAGCUAGUGGAGGCAGAACCGAGCCAGGGUACGUCUCAUGGUCUGAGAAAAGACCCAAGGACUGCAAGCAGAAACAUCAUGUCAGGAAACUGAGCCAGAGACAGACUGAGAAGGAAGGCUGCAGUGUGACUGGAGCAGCAGGGAGCAGGAGACACCUUCUCAGGGGCUGGAGAGGACUCUGGGACUGAGAUAGAUGGCCUCUGAGAAUGCGAAACAAGAACCAAAAGAUGAUAAAGUUACCUCUUACUCUCACAAAGUUAUCCAGAUGGCUCCCUAGAGGUUUAAACUUCAACUUCCCUUUUGGAUUCUACUAUACAAGAUGUUCACUGUAUGUGAAAUACAAAGUAAUUCACUUUCUUUAGUUGCUUUGUUUCCAGAAAACCAUUUCUUGUUCCUUGUGAAAAAUGAUAACAGCUUCACUCCAGCUUUUACAGAGACCCUUGCAUGCAAGAAUGUCUGCCUUGUUUUAAAACGAAAUAGUGAGUGGGUGUUCCUAAAACCGAUUAUAAAAGGGAAAAGUUUCAACUCA